GCCAGGAGUGGCCAGGCCCCAACACACCCCUCUGGAGCUGCAGUGUGCGUGUUUGUGCACCGUCAGCGGAAAGCCAGACCUGGCGGUAUCAGACAUGUAUAGACUCACUGGUGAUGACUGCCCUGGAGACUGAGGGAAGGAGGGAAUGCAGGUGUGUCUGUGAAAGUGGUAUAAAUGAUAGGUCUAGCGUUUCUCAAAAUGGGGAAUGGUUUUCUUGGACAGAAGACAGAGGUCCUUUCCAGAAUGCUGUAAAAACGCCUCACAUUUUCAAAGGCAGCAGGCCAGGUGGGUGUGUUCCUGUUGCUGCUGCUGCCUGAGGAGAAGCAGCUGUACAAGAGUUGAAUCAGCAUUGCUACAGCCUUGCCUAGGCGUUUCCCUGAUGUCAUCAGAAUAUAGCAAUAGCACCCUGGAGUGAAUACGCAAUCCGCCAGUAAAUUUCAUUGACUCACAUCAAGGACAAAAGUUUCCAUCCUUCCUCUUCCACAUUGCAGUCCAGUCUAGACCGGUUGUGAGAGUUAAGACACCUGGACCUGGAUCUAGAAACGCUUUUCACAGAGGGCCUUUUGGUUCCAAUCACAGGCCCAGGGCAGCUGGCUGGGCCAGGGUUGCUGAGACGACUGUUCAUGGGGGAGCACCUUGUGUACCCUGCCUGAGGCUGGGCCGGGCUGGCUGGGGCCACUGGAUGAUGGCUGUAACCAUGGUGGGGUAUCUGGUGUCGGUGGUCUGCUGUUCAGCAAGGUGCUUCCCUCCCUCCCUCUUCGUUCCUCUUACUGUAUCUCCCAGUCUGAAUGAUGAACAUCUAUCCUGUCACGUCUCCUCCCGUUGCUCCCCUCCGGCGCUCUGAUUCGCCGGUCUACUGAGCCAUCGGUCUAAGCA
Molecule: long non-coding RNA, 876 nt
Organism: Coregonus clupeaformis (lake whitefish)
Lineage: Eukaryota; Metazoa; Chordata; Actinopteri; Salmoniformes; Salmonidae
Exons: 6
Source: RefSeq, a predicted model, not a curated record